GACGAACGCUGGCGGCGUGCUUAACACAUGCAAGUCGAACGGAAAGGCCCUGCUUUUGUGGGGUGCUCGAGUGGCGAACGGGUGAGUAACACGUGAGUAACCUGCCCUUGACUUUGGGAUAACUUCAGGAAACUGGGGCUAAUACCGGAUAGGAGCUCCUGCUGCAUGGUGGGGGUUGGAAAGUUUCGGCGGUUGGGGAUGGACUCGCGGCUUAUCAGCUUGUUGGUGGGGUAGUGGCUUACCAAGGCUUUGACGGGUAGCCGGCCUGAGAGGGUGACCGGCCACAUUGGGACUGAGAUACGGCCCAGACUCCUACGGGAGGCAGCAGUGGGGAAUAUUGCACAAUGGGCGGAAGCCUGAUGCAGCAACGCCGCGUGCGGGAUGACGGCCUUCGGGUUGUAAACCGCUUUCGCCUGUGACGAAGCGUGAGUGACGGUAAUGGGUAAAGAAGCACCGGCUAACUACGUGCCAGCAGCCGCGGUGAUACGUAGGGUGCGAGCGUUGUCCGGAUUUAUUGGGCGUAAAGGGCUCGUAGGUGGUUGAUCGCGUCGGAAGUGUAAUCUUGGGGCUUAACCCUGAGCGUGCUUUCGAUACGGGUUGACUUGAGGAAGGUAGGGGAGAAUGGAAUUCCUGGUGGAGCGGUGGAAUGCGCAGAUAUCAGGAGGAACACCAGUGGCGAAGGCGGUUCUCUGGGCCUUUCCUGACGCUGAGGAGCGAAAGCGUGGGGAGCGAACAGGCUUAGGUACCCUGGUAGUCCACGCUGUAAACGGUGGGUACUAGGUGUGGGGUCCAUUCCACGGGUUCCGUGCCGUAGCUAACGCUUUAAGUACCCCGCCUGGGGAGUACGGCCGCAAGGCUAAAACUCAAAGGAAUUGACGGGGCCCCGCACAAGCGGCGGAGCAUGCGGAUUAAUUCGAUGCAACGCGUAGAACCUUACCUGGGUUUGACAUGGAUCGGGAGUGCUCAGAGAUGGGUGUGCCUCUUUUGGGGUCGGUUCACAGGUGGUGCAUGCCUGUCGUCAGCUCGUGUCGUGAGAUGUUGGGUUAAGUCCCGCAACGAGCGCAACCCUUGUUCACUGUUGCCAGCACGUUAUGGUGGGGACUCAGUGGAGACCGCCGGGGUCAACUCGGAGGAAGGUGGGGAUGACGUCAAGUCCUCAUGCCCCUUAUGUCCAGGGCUUCACGCAUGCUACAAUGGCUGGUACAGAGAGUGGCGAGCCUGUGAGGGUGAGCGAAUCUCGGAAAGCCGGUCUCGGUUCGGAUUGGGGUCUGCAACUCGACCUCAUGAAGUCGGAGUCGCUAGUAAUCGCAGAUCAGCAACGCUGCGGUGAAUACGUUCCCGGGGCU
Molecule: ribosomal RNA, 1346 nt
Filed under: uncultured bacterium
Lineage: Bacteria
Description: bacterial SSU rRNA
Rfam family: Bacterial small subunit ribosomal RNA
Source: RNAcentral